RNAcentral lists this ribosomal RNA (439 nucleotides) under uncultured bacterium. Its description in RNAcentral is "partial 16S ribosomal RNA". It matches the Rfam family "Bacterial small subunit ribosomal RNA", at positions 339 to 795 of the family's 1533-position model. The record is from RNAcentral.
CUACGGGGGGCAGCAGUGGGGAAUCUUAGACAAUGGGGGCAACCCUGAUCUAGCCAUGCCGCGUGAGUGAUGAAGGCCUUAGGGUCGUAAAGCUCUUUCGCCUGUGAUGAUAAUGACAGUAGCAGGUAAAGAAACCCCGGCUAACUCCGUGCCAGCAGCCGCGGUAAUACGGAGGGGGUAAGCGUUGUUCGGAAUUACUGGGCGUAAAGCGCGCGUAGGCGGAUUAGAAAGUUGGGGGUGAAAUCCCGGGGCUCAACCUCGGAACUGCCUCCAAAACUGCUAGUCUAGAGUUCGAGAGAGGUGAGUGGAAUUCCGGGUGUAGAGGUGAAAUUCGUAGAUAUUCGGAGGAACACCAGUGGCGAAGGCGGCUCACUGGCUCGAUACUGACGCUGAGGUGCGAAAGUGUGGGGAGCAAACAGGAUUAGAUACCCCAGUAGUC